Molecule: transfer RNA, 73 nt
Filed under: Bacteroidales bacterium
Lineage: Bacteria; Pseudomonadati; Bacteroidota; Bacteroidia; Bacteroidales
Description: tRNA-Lys
Rfam family: tRNA
About the family: Transfer RNA (tRNA) molecules are approximately 80 nucleotides in length. Their secondary structure includes four short double-helical elements and three loops (D, anti-codon, and T loops).
Source: RNAcentral
CGGCCCGUAGCUCAGCUGGCAGAGCACGUGACUCUUAAUCAUGGGGUCGAGAGUUCGAUUCUCUCCGGGCCGA